GGGUUGGUGGUCUAAUAGCUACCGCUUCUGCUUGAUAAGCAGAUGGUUCUGGGUUCAAUCCCAAGCCCAUCCC
This 73-nucleotide transfer RNA is filed under the name Aedes aegypti (yellow fever mosquito). It matches the Rfam family "tRNA". Rfam says of the family: Transfer RNA (tRNA) molecules are approximately 80 nucleotides in length. Their secondary structure includes four short double-helical elements and three loops (D, anti-codon, and T loops). Lineage: Eukaryota; Metazoa; Arthropoda; Insecta; Diptera; Culicidae. The record is from Rfam by way of RNAcentral.